Long non-coding RNA from Astatotilapia calliptera (eastern happy), 1147 nucleotides. The record is from Ensembl. Lineage: Eukaryota; Metazoa; Chordata; Actinopteri; Cichliformes; Cichlidae.
UAUCUUGAAAAUGUAUUUCUACCUCCAUAGAACAGCAUAUCACAUUUUAACGUUCCCUAAAGUAACAUGCUGGGACUGUAAGGGGGGAUUUAGCUUUCAUAGCAGGCUUCAUGAUCAUGCAAUUGCACCCAAAAAAUUUUUUCAUUCCAGGAUCAAUACAGUUAGAAGAGACCUGAUCAGAAAAUUGUAAUUAAGAAAAGGUCUGGGCUUCCCGGUGAUCGUCAUUCCCUGGAUGGGGCUUCGGGAGAUGAACUCCCUUAAAAGAAGGAGAAGCCUGUCAGGUUCUGUGACCCACCUGGCAACUCCAGCCAUCUCCUACAUCUACAACUGCUUGAGGAGCCAGGAACCUCUCCUGUGGGGCCAGUCCAUGCAGCAGGACGCAGAGAGCAUCAGUGAAUGGAAACUUAUGACGGCAGAAACAAAUUAAAGACAGUUAAUGUCUCCAUUAUGCUCCUGUUUCUCUGGUUCGCUCUUGUUUUUAUCACUUGAGAAAUAUUGCUAAACUGAGUCCCAUUGUAUUAUGCUCUGAAUUGGAAAUUGUUACACAUGCAUUUGUUUCAUCUCAUUUGCACUAUUGUAAUUGUUUGUUCACUUGUUUAUGUAAGGCCCCCUUGGAACAUCUGCUGGGUUGUUCAGAAUGCUGCUGCAAGGUCUCUGACCAAGUCUUCUAACUACUCGCAUGUCACGCACCUGCUGAUGCAGCUGUACUAGCUCCCCAUUAAAUUCAGAGUCCACUUUAAGAUUAUGACUUUGACAUUCGGGGCUCUGCAUGGACAAGCGCCAAAAUCAACAUCAGAGAUAGUUUACAUCCGUACAUCCCUAGCAGGUCCCUGGGGUCAUGUGAUCAGUUCUUGCAGGUUGUCCAUAAAACUAAGCUGAAAACGAAAGGUGACAGAGCUUUUGUAACUGUGGCCCCAGACCCUGACACUCUCCCUCUUUGAGUUUGAGAUCUGUGGACUCAGUGGUCUCUUUUAUAAAACAGCUAAAACUCAUUUUUUUAAAAACUUGCUUUUGGUUCAGUUUUGUUUUAUCUUUUCUAAAGCACUUUGUGAUUUUUAUCUCGAAAGGUUCUAUACAAAUAUAAUUUCACUUACUUACUUAAAUCUCCAUUAGCUGAUAUAAGAGCUGACUGACAGGCUGUUGGGCA